Molecule: ribosomal RNA, 292 nt
Filed under: Ralstonia solanacearum
Lineage: Bacteria; Pseudomonadati; Pseudomonadota; Betaproteobacteria; Burkholderiales; Burkholderiaceae
Description: partial 16S subunit of ribosomal RNA
Rfam family: Bacterial small subunit ribosomal RNA
Source: RNAcentral
AUGCCUUACACAUGCAAGUCGAACGGCAGCGGGGGUAGCUUGCUACCUGCCGGCGAGUGGCGAACGGGUGAGUAAUACAUCGGAACGUGCCCUGUAGUGGGGGAUAACUAGUCGAAAGACUAGCUAAUACCGCAUACGACCUGAGGGUGAAAGUGGGGGACCGCAAGGCCUCAUGCUAUAGGAGCGGCCGAUGUCUGAUUAGCUAGUUGGUGGGGUAAAGGCCCACCAAGGCGACGAUCAGUAGCUGGUCUGAGAGGACGAUCAGCCACACUGGGACUGAGACACGGCCCAG